GAUGAACGCUGGCGGCGUGCCUAAUACAUGCAAGUCGAGCGAACGGACGAGAAGCUUGCUUCUCUGAUGUUAUCGGCGGACGGGUGAGUAACACGUGGAUAACCUACCUAUAAGACUGGGAUAACUUCGGGAAACCGGAGCUAAUACCGGAUAAUAUUUUGAACCGCAUGGUUCAAAAGUGAAAGACGGUCUUGCUGUCACUUAUAGAUGGAUCCGCGCUGCAUUAGCAAGUUGGUAAGGUAACGGCUUACCAAGGCAACGAUGCAUAGCCGACCUGAGAGGGUGAUCGGCCACACUGGAACUGAGACACGGUCCAGACUCCUACGGGAGGCAGCAGUAGGGAAUCUUCCGCAAUGGGCGAAAGCCUGACGGAGCAACGCCGCGUGAGUGAUGAAGGUCUUCGGAUCGUAAAACUCUGUUAUUAGGGAAGAACAUAUGUGUAAGUAACUGUGCACAUCUUGACGGUACCUAAUCAGAAAGCCACGGCUAACUACGUG
This 497-nucleotide ribosomal RNA is filed under the name uncultured bacterium. RNAcentral describes it as "partial 16S ribosomal RNA". It matches the Rfam family "Bacterial small subunit ribosomal RNA", at positions 28 to 507 of the family's 1533-position model. The record is from RNAcentral.